RNAcentral lists this unclassified non-coding RNA (1973 nucleotides) under Haliotis rubra (blacklip abalone). RNAcentral describes it as "a disintegrin and metalloproteinase with thrombospondin motifs 19-like, transcript variant X1". The record is from RNAcentral. Lineage: Eukaryota; Metazoa; Mollusca; Gastropoda; Lepetellida; Haliotidae.
CACUUGUCUUGAGAAAUGCCGCGUCAUUCAGGUUAGAGGAACACCUGUAUAAAGAUUCACAAAAUAUCUGAAGAUGAAGUAAUGAAGGGGAUUGAGUGUCGGCCCCGGGAACAAUCUGUGUUCUAAUGUCACGCUCCCGUGCUCAAGAGCGGUUGUGUUAUCUAUCUUCACUCACUAUCACCCCAUACCCCACGGAGGACGGCUCGCGACCGACUCCCGCCAGCUGACGAACAGAACAAGCACUCACCAGGAAGUGAGCCGGACCGGACGCGAUGAAAGAACUGACCACUCUACCUGUACUCAUAUGUUUGUUUAUAUCACCUGUAUUACCUGCUGAAUCACAACAACCAGUCAGAGUCGUCCGCAUAUCCGUCCAGUCUACACUCAAGGAGAAACAACGUUCCUGUCACCUUGCAGAUGACCUUUACCUUCAAAUUCAAGGUGGCAACAUAUCGGUAAAUCUACAUCUGCGACAUGAGCCGCAUCAAGACACCAUUAUUCCAAUUCCUCUACUGGAGAGAAAAGCAAAUGGACAACUCGUCUCCACGUUUUGGCAACUGAUAACAACAAAAUGGAAAUCUUACGAAGAUGUCCAUCGAACCAGUUCCUUUGACGUCAGAUGCUCCAUGAUAGGAUCCAGACCAUUGUAUCGUAUAUCAGGGUUUCUAAUGGAUCGCGGCGAGCUUUAUAGUCUGAACCCGGCGUCAAGUGGUGCAUCCUACCGACACCUUCAUCAUCUAGUUCCGUUCGUUGGAGGCUCCAACACUAAAAAAAUAGAAUACAAUCAACAUCAUAGCCAUUCAUUACGGCACAGACGGCAAACAACCCCCGAGUACAAGAUUGACGUUUUAGUCAUAGUAGAUUAUCAGCUUUUUCAGCAUUGGCGCACGGUUGUAAAUCGAACAGCAACAAUAGAUCAGACGAAAGCAGCUAUAAAGACUUAUAUAGGGCUAGUUUUUAGAGGGGUGAACGUCCGCUUUGCCACAAUCUCAGCCUACAACAUAAAUGUCAGUAUUGUAGAUAUAAUCAUUUCUGAGACUGCAACAUCACCAACAGCCGAACUCACAAGUCAGUUUGCAAUGAGAAAUAAUGUAAAUGCCAACAGUACAUUGUACGCUUUGCGAAACUACGUGGCCUCGAAUCCACUUCCAGAGAAUGAUCACGUGAUGUUAUUUACCGGGUAUGACAUUCUGGGAACCGACAAUGGCGUCUUAUUCAAAUACACCAAAGGUCAGGCAUUUGUUGGGACGUUGUGUGAAGGUGGUCGCAGCGUCUCCGUCGUCGAGGACCAUGCAGGAUUCCAAAGUGUCCACUCGGCUACCCACGAGUUGGCACACAGUAUGAACGCCACCCAUGACGGGGACGACGAUCCCAGCUGUAGUUCCCGUGACCGCUACCUGAUGGCCGGGCAACCAGUCGAGCCUACAGAACUGACCAAAGCGAACCCAUGGCGCUUCUCAAGCUGCUCCAUGCAACAAAUGGCAAACUUCUUUGAAAACAAAUUGAAACAGGACCAUCAUUCAGCACCGUCAGCGACAUCUGUACCUCCAUGUUCUGCUACAAGAGUACUGGGAAUGAGAACCAGAUACGAUGUAAUGAACACCACGGUGCUGAUGGAACUUCCUGCGGCAACAAAAAGUGGUGCGAACAAGGGCGAUGUGUUGAAUCUGAAGAUGCGCCAGUUAAAGUUGAUGAUUGCGUGUUUGGUGACGAAACCGGCGUUACCGUGAACGGCAAACCGUGCAGAGCGGCGGUGGCGGAGACACCAUACGCCUGUUAUAGAAGUGACAUUCAGCAGCGUUGUUGUGGAUCCUGUGGGACAAUUCAGUCAACUUCACCAGGUUGCAAGUACGGAGACAAACUCCCCGGCUGCGUCACACGAGACUGUCACUCCAUCACCCCCAACGGUAACAUCUAUGACAACGACUGCUGUGGGACGUGCAACUUCAGCGUCAAUGCAUGGCAAUGUAGAG